This is a long non-coding RNA of Nicotiana attenuata, 1648 nucleotides long. RefSeq lists it as uncharacterized. The record is from RefSeq and is a predicted model, not a curated record. The transcript is spliced from 2 exons. NCBI's taxonomy places the organism in Eukaryota, Viridiplantae, Streptophyta, Magnoliopsida, Solanales, Solanaceae.
CAAAUUGCUUUCACGCGUCUGAUUUGCGUGAUAUGCACACACUAGUGUUACGUCACACAUACUGUUGUCACAUAGGCUUGGUCAAUGGUCAGAGGUGUUUAUUGGUCCUCAUUCAGUCAAGUACAAGUGUUUAAAUGGGAAACUUGUAAGUUCAUUUCCCGGGUUAACAAAUGGGUACAAGUUUAAGUAGCCGGAGGCUAUUUUGCAUAAAAUAUAUCCGAUCCGUCCUUUAGCUUACAUUACAACCCGUAAAGACCUAAUUGAUCUUAGACUUUACGAGCUUAGAUUAGUGGAAAUAUACACUACGGACAAGCCUAUGGUACAACUGCGGGAUGCACAUGAAUUUCUUUGUGAGAGUGAGUGGUUCUUUAUUCAUAUAUGUGAUGUCCUUAGAUUAUAUUCGAAUGCAUAUUUGAAUGUGUAGACAAAAUACCCUCUUGUUCUUUGGUGAGACACAUGAUUACAUGACAGAUAGGUGAUGUUAUUAAACAUCUCUUGUUGGGUGAGUGCACGAGUUGAGAGUGCUUAUUGGCGACGAGUCGGUCUUUGAGGUUGGGUGCUUAUGGGCAGGUUGUUUAAGUAUUUUUAAUUGGUCACUAAUAUUUCGGCAUGUGAAAAUUGGGAAAGGUAUGAAUGCGUAUGCAAGAGCUCAAUUGUUGGUAUCAACCAAGGUCAUAGGUGUAGUGUGUUGAAUUGCUAAAUAUUCCUCCAUUAUUUGAUGUCUUGCGUGCAUUGUUUGGGAAAAGAGUAUCUUAAUAAAUGUCACUGAGUUGUUUCCUUGAAUUGAAGAAUCUCCAUUGCUUCUAUUGUCCCCUCAAGUUGUCCAUUCUUUUCUUGUGUUCCUAAUUUCCUUUGGGUUUUGUAUAUUAUGUAGUUAACUUGGAGGUUGUAAAUGCUUUCAAACUUUUUUCAUUCUUUAAUGGUAUACAGUUCCAAAGGCUCCAAAUCGGAGAAGCAAUCAACAGAGGCGAAAGAAGCGAAGUUAAAGUAUAGAAGACAAUUGCGGGUUUGUAAUACUUGUGUGUGGCCUUCUGUUGUUAUAACAAUUAUUGAGAUAGGUGAUUGUUUCCAAAUAAAGAAUUCUCUGCUAAAGAUCCUUUUCAAACAACUGUUGAGAGAGAGAGACAAAAAAGGUAGAGCUGGAUGAAAUUUUCUUCAAGAUGGGUGUUGCUAUAAUGUGGCCUUCUCAGUAUGCGUUGGAUGAAAUGUUGCGUGAAGUAGUGCAGUGAAGCAGUUGCCUUGGCAUGGCUUCCGUCUUGAAGGACUUGGAGCUAAAGGGAGGGUACCCUUGUGUGUGAGAGAGACAUAAUUUAUAUCGAGAGAUUCUAGUAGGUCAUUAAUCCAUUGCAAUAGUUCAUGAUAGAAUAAUGAAGAAGUGUUUUACUAGCAAAGAUUAAAUUUCUUAUAUAAAUAUUACUCCAUAACAUAAAUAAUUUGUCAUAUUUUAAUUAUUUAUAUAACCGCUCGUCGCGCGGAAAAAUUUACUAGUUGGUUUCUAAUUUAGACUAGAAUUGAGAUUCUUGCUUCUUGUUUCACCAUCAGUAACGACCAACUGUAAGUUGAUGAUACAGGACACCAAAGAAACUAUCGAUACCGAUACCACAAGCCUAUGAAUAACAUUUCUAAGACAAGAGAGUAAACAAGAUAA